RNAcentral lists this ribosomal RNA (500 nucleotides) under Mycolicibacterium wolinskyi. RNAcentral describes it as "bacterial SSU rRNA". It matches the Rfam family "Bacterial small subunit ribosomal RNA", at positions 1 to 522 of the family's 1533-position model. The record is from RNAcentral. Lineage: Bacteria; Bacillati; Actinomycetota; Actinomycetes; Mycobacteriales; Mycobacteriaceae.
UGGAGAGUUUGAUCCUGGCUCAGGACGAACGCUGGCGGCGUGCUUAACACAUGCAAGUCGAACGGAAAGGCCCUUCGGGGUGCUCGAGUGGCGAACGGGUGAGUAACACGUGGGUGAUCUGCCCUGCACUUUGGGAUAAGCCUGGGAAACUGGGUCUAAUACCGGAUAGGACCACGGUCUGCAUGGAUUGUGGUGGAAAGCUUUUGCGGUGUGGGAUGGGCCCGCGGCCUAUCAGCUUGUUGGUGGGGUGAUGGCCUACCAAGGCGACGACGGGUAGCCGGCCUGAGAGGGUGACCGGCCACACUGGGACUGAGAUACGGCCCAGACUCCUACGGGAGGCAGCAGUGGGGAAUAUUGCACAAUGGGCGCAAGCCUGAUGCAGCGACGCCGCGUGAGGGAUGACGGCCUUCGGGUUGUAAACCUCUUUCAGCACAGACGAAGCGCAAGUGACGGUAUGUGCAGAAGAAGGACCGGCCAACUACGUGCCAGCAGCCGCGGUA